GCCUACAAGCAGUCGGAGCCCCCAUGCGGGGUGACGGCGUACCUUUUGUAUAAUGGGUCAACGACUUGGUCUGUCUAGCAAGCUUAAGCCGUUAGGUGUAGGCGCAGCGAAAGCGAGUCUUAAAUGGGCGACAUAGUUAGACGGAUCAGACCCGAAACCGAGUGAUCUAGGCAUGAGCAGGAUGAAGGUUGGGUAACACCAACUGGAGGUCCGAACCG
RNAcentral lists this ribosomal RNA (218 nucleotides) under Leptocylindrus danicus. RNAcentral describes it as "partial Bacterial large subunit ribosomal RNA". It matches the Rfam family "Bacterial large subunit ribosomal RNA", at positions 562 to 781 of the family's 2925-position model. The record is from RNAcentral. Lineage: Eukaryota; Bacillariophyta; Leptocylindrophyceae; Leptocylindrales; Leptocylindraceae.